RNAcentral lists this long non-coding RNA (1523 nucleotides) under Marmota monax (woodchuck). The record is from RNAcentral. Lineage: Eukaryota; Metazoa; Chordata; Mammalia; Rodentia; Sciuridae.
AGCAGCUGUGGCCCACAGGUCACCUGUCCCCACAGCUCAGGCACACCGGAGACCUAUUUCCAACCUACAGGUAGGUGCACACGAAGGCCCUUAUGCCAUUAGGGUGACAUUGACGGGCUUCCGGGUGGCAGAGGGAGACCGGGCAGUCUCACUACUUCCAUGUCCCACUGGUCCCAAGCUGUCCGACCCGUGCUUGCUGGUGAUGUGGUCGUGGUCAUAGUCACUGCUCCAUUCCCUGCCCUGCCUCAGCCAACGUCCCAGCAGCAGUGUAUCCUGCGACGUCUGCGUUUACGGACCCUGUUCAAAAAGCACAGCUGCGUCCCGUCAUUUACACGGCCCUCCUGUUGCUGUUGAAAACGCAGGUGGCUUCUGUUUUCACCGUGACACUGAACACUGCACCCAACAGUGCUUUCUCCUCCAUGCUGACAGCUCCCGGUCAGACUUCCGGACCUGGGCCUUCGGCUCCAAGGGCUUGAAUGUGGGAGUCGUUACAUGUCAGGGAAGGAGACUGAGGUCAGAGGGGGCCGGUGACAGGCUCCAGUGGCCCAGAGGGUUGGUUACUUUGUGGGCUGAUGGUGCCACGGGGCUCUGGGCCUUGCGCUAUUGCUGCAAGUGGCUCCCCAAGUGUCUCCUAAAAAAAAAACCCCUACUGUGAUCUGAUUCUCAUACCGCGGUGAUAUCCAGGCCUGGUGCAUGCAGACACCUGCUCCAUGCAGCGCUGAAGCUUUGGACCCCUGAGCAUGCAAGACUCACUGACCUCCACCUCCCGGGAGGCUGGUAGAACUCGGAAAUAAGGCAGACCAGAAUGGAAGCUCGGCUCAAGGGUUAAUCAAUAGCUAGUACUUUUCCAAACCCUGUUAGUGGACAUUUGGACCAAUAACUAGUGUUUUUCCAAACCCUGAUUAGCAUACACUGGGUGCAAUAGCAUUAGUACUUUCCAAACCCUGAUUAGCAUAAGUUGGACUGUAGCCUUGACCCAGGAGCUCUGUAAACCCCUGGACUAGCACACUCAGAUGGCAAUCCCUGUGGGGUCCCCUCUCGCCCUGUGGGGAUUCUUCACAUACGAAUAAAUCCUCUUCUGUAGAUUUCAUUUUUCGAAUGCAGGAGAUAAGAAUCCAGAAGAAAGAUGGGCGGAGAGCUGCUGGGGUCUGCGGCAACCCCGGAGGGCGCGGUCCACCAUUAAGAUCUGCAACACUUCCUGGCUGCAGAGGAGGUCUGCAGCUUAUGCAGCACCCACCUGCCGGCACAAGCAGAGGCGCUCUGCAGACCUGUGCCUGUUGAAAGCCCCAGGCAAGUCAAGAUGGCGCCUGGCGCUUUGCCAAGAGGAGUGGUUUCAGCCAUUAAGAUGAUAGAGAUUCCUUAAUGACUGACUGCUGUGUCAAGAUAAUGUUAAUUAAGUUAAGCUGUGUGUAAUUAAGAUGAUGAGGAUUCCUUGAUGACUGAUUGAUGUAUCUGGAUGAUGUUAAUUGAAACAAGCUGUGUAUUCAGUUAUGUAUAUAUACCCUUGCUGUCCUACAAUAAAG